UGGCUGUGUGUCUGUGCCCUCACCUGCCCUGGCAUGCCAGUCCUGGCUGAGUGGGGCUGGCCUACCCUGGCCCCAGCAUGGAGGUGGCAGAGGGCGGGCCCACAGGUAUCCUGGGGCAGUAGUACGGGCUCCUGGAUGUUCCCAGGGUGGAUGAUUCAGUUACUGGAAUCCACGGUGCCUAAGCUCACCCUAGGGGUUGUGUGGCUGAUGCCACAUGGUGAGCCGCAGCUUGGCUUCUCAGGCCAAGUUGGGGUUCAGUGUCUGCAGCUUCAGCUUCUCCUACUACCUCGGCCUCCCCGCCGUUCAGCCCUGUGGAGGCCUCUGCAGGAAGGAGGCCGGGUAGUGAGGGAGCUCCUCGCUGGGCCCGUGUGGCUGACUAGACAGAGUGGUGUUUGUUCCGGGAACCAGCCGUUUGGAGACCCAUUUGCCGGAUCCCCAUAGGCUAGUGGGGCGUCAGUAAUGAUAAUGAGGUGCCAAGGCCCUGAGCUGCUGGCAUUCCAAGUCCAUUCUAAGAUGCCGUAGAGCUGUGGGCUUUAUUUGUCCUUUUCUUUGGGGGUUUGAGUAGCCAUUGUGCCCAGCACACCUCCAAACCGGUUUUGGCAUUGAAGGAUCAUUUUAUAGUGAAGGCUUACAGCAGUUGUAUCUGCCUUUCUGACAUUGUCUUGUCACAUCUGUUGCUGAAUUACCGACUAAGACGUUCCUAUUGAAAACACCAUCUCCUUUGUAAUGGUAUACUUUCAGACAGUGACUGGGAGCACAUUCCUCUAAAGCUUGGCUGUCCUCAGAAGGCUCUCCAGAAAGUUAAUGAACUCAGUUUGCAUAUGAGCCUUGGGCAAGUGGCUAUUUGCAAGGCUGUGUCUAACAGAGGCCUGUGGUUCAUGCUGCCAGUGCUGAGUGGCCAUGAAUGGUCACGAUUGGGUGGCUACCUGCUUGUUCCUUUGCUUGGGCUGGAUUAUACAUCUCCCCUCCCAUGUAUAUACAUACUGUUCUCUGUUGUCUCUUCUCUUUUGGAAGCCACAUUCUACUCGUUGUUAGGAUUGGCUCUGUGCUCCGGGAGCUGGACCCAGGAGUGAGUCCUAAUAUUGAUGGCUGGCUAUCUUAAAAAAAAAAUCCUAUAUAAUAAAAGCCUAAUAUGCUAAGUGUCCGGUCGGCCAUUUAGUCAAUCAAAAUGUAAUAUGCUAAUAAUAUGCUAAGGCUGCUCAGCUGCUUGCUAUGAUGUGCACUGACCACCAGGGGGUAGGUGCUCAGGUAGGUUAGCUUGCUCUGGGGUCUGGUCAAUCGGGACUGAGCAAGAUGGGCGGACAUGCCCUGGAGCCCUUCCGUGGUCUCUCCCCAGCUGACCAACCUCCCGUGUCCCUCCCCAGCCCCGAUCGUGCACCGGUGGGGUCCCUUGGCCUCACUUGCACCCUCUCACAAUCCAGGACCCCUCAGGGAUGUUGGAGAGCCGGUUUCGGCCUGAUCCUGCAGGCCAGGCCGAGGGACGCCACUGUGCACGAAUUUGUGCACGGGGCUUCUAAUGUAUAUGUAUAUGUGUGUAUAUAUGUGUGUGUGUAUAUAUAUAUUUUUUUAAUUUCUGGGAGGUGUCUGGGCACCAACCCUAAAGGGGUGACUGUCUUCUUAAUGUGCAGAGCAGACUGCGUUAAUCAGAUAGAAUUUUCUUAACCGUAAGGUCUUCUUGUACAGGGCUAACUUAAAAUUGGACAUCUGUUGCUACAGUCUAGUGUAAAGUGUCGUCUACUUUUGUUGCCUUGUUUUUCUUGAGUUAGCAUUUCAGACAGUUCCUCACAGUGACACCAAACUCAGGUCUGGCUGCCUGCCACUUUGAAAGCCAGUACUCAAGAGACAGGGGCUGAUGUAAGGAAAGAUGGUCUAUUCAAGUGCCAGCAGCCUCAGAAGAUGGUGACUCCCGUCCCAAAGACCAUCUUAACAUCUCAGUGUAGGCUUGGGUUUUUAUUAGGAGGGAGAGGAGGAAAAGAAAGAAAUCAGGGGCAUUCAGAGUUCUCUUCAUGUAAGUCAGCACAGUCCAGUCUAAUGAUUAUCUUAAAACUGGUUGAGCAGAAGUCAGGUAUGUAUGUAUGUAUUUAGUUAUUUAGUUAUUUAUUUGAGGCCCAAUGCAUGAAUCCAUGCAUGGGUGGGGUCCCUCGGGGUGGCCUGUGGGGAUUGGGCCCUAGCUUGUGCCCCCAGCCUUGCAGCCCUGCAGCCCCGCCUGGAACCCCACCGUGGCCUGGCGCUGCCCCCUCACCUGCUCUACCAUUCCACCGCGGUCCCACUGUUAUUGGGGCCCAUUGAAGCUGGCAGCGCCUUUGCUGCUGUCCAUUGCCAGCGCCAUGUCGCCAACAUCCGCCAUGUUUUAUGCUGCCCCCUGGUGGUCAGCGCAUGUCAUAGCGAGCAGUCAAACUCCUGGUCCAACGACUGCCCAAGGGGACAAUUUGCACAUUAGGCUUUUAUUAUAUAGGAUUUAUUUAUUUAUUCUUAAUCUUCAUUCGAGGAUAUUUUUCCAUUGAUUUUAGGGAGAGUGGAAGUGAGAGGGAAAGACAGAGAGAAAUAUUGAUGUGAGAGAACUACAUCGCUUGGUUGCCUCCUGUGCGAGCCCUGAUCAGGGCCUGGGCCAGGGAGGAGCCUGCAACCGAGGUACGUGCCCUUGACUGGAAUUGAGCCCGGGACCCUUUGGUCUGCAAGCCGACGCUCUACCUACUGAGCCAAACUGGUCAGGGCAAGGUCCCGUUUUUAUGGUUGAGAGUCAGCAAGUGUCCUGGAGCCAGAAUGUCUGGUUGCUGGAGCUGCUUUCUGAACUCUGACACAAAUAUGCUGCUUAGCCAUGGGCUACAUAUCAGUUAACAAUUCCUCUUCUGUAAAAACACUUUUAAUAUUGAACAGUAUUAACAGAAGAGAAGGGUGGGUUACACAGAACAUAAGGUCCUGGGGUGCCUCUACCAGAAGGAGUUUGAGAAUCACUGCUUUGGUGGCCUCCAGUGGUCCCUGCUCCCCAGAAGACUUGGCAUAGUUCGUUCCCUGCUUUGCACAGUGGCUAUUAGUUGGGUAACAUUACUUUCUUUUUAAAUUCAUUUCAGAGAGAGAGAGAGAGAGAAAGAGAGAGAUCGAUUAGUUGUUUCCACUAAAAGGAUUAGAAGAAAUAUUUUAAUAUCGCUAUUCGCCCUUUCUCUAUAAUAGGAGUGUCAACCAAAUUCACGAUUGACAAUGACAGAUAGAAACACACACGUGCAAUUGGCGCCAACGAGAGCUUUAUGUAUUGCACAUGUGUGAGUCAACUUAGCCUUUUAUAUAUAUAGAUACACUUGCUUAAUUAGACCUGCCUUCUGAUGUAGCUAAACUUUUUCCAGCCCAGUGAAGCACCCCAGCUUCUCUUUCAGGUAAUUGUCAGCAACACAGCAGUAAAUAUCAGCAUGAAGCAGAUUAUUAUUGUAGAUCACACAGGGAGAACAAAGGGUAAAAUAUUGAACUGCAGCAGUGUUUGACUAUAUUCUGUGCAGUGAGAAAACCUGAAGUCAUUUUCAAGGUCCACCAUUUCUUCUUUUCAGUCGGGUCAAGUUUCUAAGCUUUCUAAAUCUCCGUUUUCUGGCCAAUGAAAAGAAAA
Long non-coding RNA from Myotis daubentonii (Daubenton's bat), 3595 nucleotides. RefSeq lists it as uncharacterized. The transcript is spliced from 2 exons. Lineage: Eukaryota; Metazoa; Chordata; Mammalia; Chiroptera; Vespertilionidae. The record is from RefSeq and is a predicted model, not a curated record.